UUUUUAAUUAAAAACUAGAAUGAAAGGUUAUACAUUCAAAUUUCUUUAUUAAUUUUUAAUAAAUAAUUUAUAUUAAAUAUAAAAAUAUAUUUAUAAAAAAAAAAGACGACAAGACCCUAUUAAAUUUUACUUAUAGUUUAGCUGGGGAAGCUUUUCAAUUAAAAUUUUUUAAUUUAAAUAAAUAAAAAUCUAAUAAAAUUAAAAUUUUAAUAAAUUACUAUAGGGAUAACAGCAUUAUAUUUUUUAAAAGUUCAUAUUAAAAAAAAUGAUUGUGACCUCGAUGUUGAAUUAUAUUUUCUAUAUUAAAUGCAAUAAUUAUAAAAGUAGAUCUGUUCGAUCUUUAAAAUAUUACAUGAUUUGAGUUCAAACCGGUGUAAACCAGGUUGGUUUCUAUCUUUUUAUACAUUUUUCUAGUACGAAAGGACAAAAAAAUUUUUAUUUUAAUAAAUUAGCAAAUAAAUGCAUUAGAUUUAGAAUCUAAAUACAAUUAAUAAUU
This 496-nucleotide unclassified non-coding RNA is filed under the name Anelosimus baeza. Its description in RNAcentral is "partial contains 16S ribosomal RNA and tRNA-Leu (trnL)". The stretch from base 100 to 399 matches the Rfam family "Bacterial large subunit ribosomal RNA", at positions 2074 to 2646 of the family's 2925-position model. The record is from RNAcentral. Lineage: Eukaryota; Metazoa; Arthropoda; Arachnida; Araneae; Theridiidae.